This 75-nucleotide transfer RNA is filed under the name Marinobacter sp. RNAcentral's name for it is "tRNA-Thr". It matches the Rfam family "tRNA". Rfam says of the family: Transfer RNA (tRNA) molecules are approximately 80 nucleotides in length. Lineage: Bacteria; Pseudomonadati; Pseudomonadota; Gammaproteobacteria; Pseudomonadales; Marinobacteraceae. RNAcentral also lists the same sequence under 1 other name. The record is from RNAcentral.
GCUACCGUGGUGCUAAUGGGAACACGCAUCCCUGGUACGGAUGAGACGGCAGUUCGAUUCUGCCCGGUAGCUCCA